GCGGUCGAGGCGGCGGCGAAGGAGGCGGCCACGGCGGUGGCGGUGGCGAAGACCGCGUUCGAGGCGGCGGCCGCGAAGGGGGUGGCGGUAGCGAAGGCGUUGGCGAAGGAAGCGGCCGAGGUGGUGGCGAUGGCGAAGGACCUGGUCGAGGCGGCGGCGAAGGAGGCGGCCGAGGCG
Molecule: small RNA, 177 nt
Filed under: Oryza sativa Japonica Group (Japanese rice)
Lineage: Eukaryota; Viridiplantae; Streptophyta; Magnoliopsida; Poales; Poaceae
Description: sRNA Os08g0419200
Source: RNAcentral